GGCAUGGUGGUGCAGUGGUUAGCACUGCUACCUCACAAUAAGAAGGUUGUGGGUUUGAAUCUGCCUGGGGCCU
Gymnothorax javanicus (giant moray) is the source of this 73-nucleotide non-coding RNA. The record is from the annotation of a GenBank genome assembly. NCBI's taxonomy places the organism in Eukaryota, Metazoa, Chordata, Actinopteri, Anguilliformes, Muraenidae.